GAAAUGCGAUAAGUAAUGUGAAUUGCAGAAUUCAGUGAAUCAUCGAAUCUUUGAACGCACCUUGCGCUCCUUGGUAUUCCUUGGAGCAUGCCUGUUUGAGUAUCAUGAAAUCUUCAAAGUAAAUCUUUUGUUAACUCAAUUGGUUUCUACUUUGGUAUUGGAGGUCUUUGCAGCUUCACACCUGCUCCUCUUUGUUCAUUAGCUGGAUCUCAGUGUUAUGCUUGGUUCCACUCGGCGUGAUAAGUUAUCUAUCGCUGAGGACACUGUAAAAGGUGGCAAAGGUAAAUGCAGAUGAACCGCUUCUAAUAGUCCAUUGACUUGAACAAUACUUUUAUGAUCUGAUCUAAAAUCAGGUAGGACUACCCGCUGAACUUAAGC
RNAcentral lists this unclassified non-coding RNA (378 nucleotides) under plant metagenome. RNAcentral describes it as "partial contains 5.8S ribosomal RNA, internal transcribed spacer 2, and large subunit ribosomal RNA". The stretch from base 1 to 105 matches the Rfam family "5.8S ribosomal RNA", at positions 50 to 154 of the family's 154-position model. The record is from RNAcentral.